GGAGUCUGGGCCGUAUCUCAGUCCCAAUGUGGCCGUUCAACCUCUCAGUCCGGCUACUGAUCGUCGCCUUGGUGGGCCGUUACCCCUCCAACUAGCUAAUCAGACGCGAGGCCAUCUCAGAGCGAUAAUUCUUUGAUAUCCAAACCAUGCGAUUCAGAUAUGUCAUGCGGUAUUAGCAGCCGUUUCCGGCUGUUGUCCCCCUCUCCAAGGCAGGUUCCUCACGCGUUACUCACCCGUCCGCCACUUUCCUCAGCUUCCAUCGUCCGAAAACUCUUUCCACUGAUUCUCGUUCGACUUGCAUGUGUUAAGCACGCCGCCAGCGUUCGUC
Molecule: ribosomal RNA, 328 nt
Filed under: uncultured Oscillospira sp.
Lineage: Bacteria; Bacillati; Bacillota; Clostridia; Eubacteriales; Oscillospiraceae
Description: partial 16S ribosomal RNA
Source: RNAcentral